CUGGAACUGCCCGGUGCGUCAGGUAUAUUGUCCCUUGGACCGAUAACUUACGCUUGGGGAGCCGUCGCUGGCGGGGGCACUGCCCCUGCGCAUAUGGCGCCCACCUGUUCACACGGGUCGAAUGCGGCUUUCUUACCAACGGCCAGGGCGGUUCCUUU
RNAcentral lists this non-coding RNA (158 nucleotides) under Pseudomonadota bacterium. RNAcentral describes it as "6S RNA". It matches the Rfam family "6S / SsrS RNA". Rfam says of the family: E. coli 6S RNA was the first non coding RNA to be sequenced, but its function was unknown until recently. It consists of 184 nucleotides that fold into an extended hairpin structure with a large single-stranded internal bulge. Lineage: Bacteria; Pseudomonadati; Pseudomonadota. The record is from RNAcentral.